RNAcentral lists this ribosomal RNA (492 nucleotides) under uncultured bacterium. RNAcentral describes it as "partial 16S ribosomal RNA". It matches the Rfam family "Bacterial small subunit ribosomal RNA", at positions 29 to 507 of the family's 1533-position model. The record is from RNAcentral.
AGUGAACGCUGGCGGUAGGCCUAACACAUGCAAGUCGAACGGCAGCACAGUAAGAGCUUGCUCUUACGGGUGGCGAGUGGCGGACGGGUGAGGAAUACAUCGGAAUCUACUUUUUCGUGGGGGAUAACGUAGGGAAACUUACGCUAAUACCGCAUACGACCUACGGGUGAAAGCAGGGGAUCUUCGGACCCUGCGCGAUUGAAUGAGCCGAUGUCGGAUUAGCUAGUUGGCGGGGUAAAGGCCCACCAAGGCGACGAUCCGUAGCUGGUCUGAGAGGAUGAUCAGCCACACUGGAACUGAGACACGGUCCAGACUCCUACGGGAGGCAGCAGUGGGGAAUAUUGGACAAUGGGCGCAAGCCUGAUCCAGCCAUACCGCGUGGGUGAAGAAGGCCUUCGGGUUGUAAAGCCCUUUUGUUGGGAAAGGAAAGCAGCAGGUUAAUACCCCGCUGUUCUGACGGUACCCAAAGAAUAAGCACCGGCUAACUUCGUG